This is an RNA transcript of Anthonomus grandis grandis, 9077 nucleotides long. It is a transcript of the gene named E3 ubiquitin-protein ligase lubel, with no coding region annotated. Lineage: Eukaryota; Metazoa; Arthropoda; Insecta; Coleoptera; Curculionidae. The transcript has 27 exons. The record is from RefSeq and is a predicted model, not a curated record.
AUAUUAGACACAGUCCGAUCCAGACGUCGGAUAGAGGAACGUCUCUUGACCGCGACACCUCUAUUAUAAUAAUAGUGUUCCUGUCUAUUUUGGUAAUGUCUUUUCGUUAGUUUAUUGAGUGUUUUUUAUAGCCCCGCUUAGAGCGAUAUGAGUAACAAAAACGAAAAGUGGAAACCUAUGGUCAUACAUAACCCUUCUACCAGGAUGCGGAUGGCCAGGAAUAUGCCGCAAUGGGUGAAUAAAAGCGGUUCCAGUGGCAUCCCACCACCUCCCAUUCCUCGAGAUUCCGGAAGAAAAACUGACGAACCCGACUAUGAAGUAAUUGAAUUCGGCCAAUAUUUAAACACUCCUCCUACGAAAGCUCUAGGUGAAAUUUACAUAUCUAUUAAAAAAAACUAUAUAAAACUAGCUCUUGUUGUAGAACGACCGCAAAAACAUUGUCAACUAUGCGGCUCUACGUCCCCGAACGUGAACGUGCAUUGUGAACAUUGCAAACAAAACUUUUGCCUUUCUUGUGACGAUAUGUACCAUAGGCAUCCAAAAAGACAGCAUCACAUAAGAAGAAGGGUAGAAGAACGUGGGUUCCAACCUAUAAGACCCCCUUUACCCCCUAAAGGAGAAUUUCCUCAGGCGCCCCCUCAACCUCCCCCUAGAAGAAGACGUUCUGGAUCAAUAGGACCCUCCCCUUGCCCCUCACCCACCCCGAUGAAGAAUAACCAGGGUUCGCAUCAAUUUUCUAUGCCAAGAAAGGACAGCGGGUUUAGUCUUAAAGAAAAAAUGAACAGCCUUAGAAGAGGACUGACUUUGGGCAACAGACCACUGCCGCCUACGCCAAACAGUCCUUCCAGUGGCGGUCCAAGCUAUCCAACGUCCAGGUCGAAUUCCCAAGUGUCCCAGGACGAUUUUCGACAAUUCCAGGCACCUAGUCCCAGCCCGUCCCUUCAAGAACGUUAUAGGAGACAUCAGCUAGCUAUGAGAGGCACGACACCCAAUUUGCCAAGUCAUGUGGCGGCAGAGUUUGAUAAAUCGCCAAGUGGGGAUUCGGGAUAUCCAGAUUGGGAUCAAUGGGCUAUUCGGGACAGGGCAGGAAGUGUUUCUGGAUCAGAGGCGGCCACCAAAGUAUCAAGAAAACUCUCCAACACCUCUUGCCCGCCACCGACCAGAAGCAAUAUACCACAUAGCACCUCAGUGUUUGAUUUGAACAAUACCAUGGCCCAUCAUCACCACGGAGGAUUUACGCCCAUGCAACAGGCCCAAUCAAUGGCCCAACUUGGUUAUCCAAUGCCUUGUUGUCCCAAUGUCUGGAUGGAACAGCAACCGUGCUGCUUCGACCACGCCCCUCACGGAAGCAAUAUGAGUCUUAACGUGCCUCACGGUUAUCCAGUCAAUCCUAUGUGGAUGGGCACUUGGCAUGGUCCAUCACCUGGAAUGUAUCCCUGUGGAAUACCGCCGCAAGCAAGGCCUUGUUCACAUUCACGUCCAGCCUCACCGACCCAUAGCGUUAAGUCACGUAAAUCCACUCUAAGCAAGAAAUCCCGAAGGAAGUACCAGGACGAUUCCUCAGAUGAAGAUUUAAACGAUCUGGACGAUAGAAGAUCAAUGUUUAGCCACACGGAUAACCGUAGUGAGAGAAGAUCCCUGGGAAGAUACGGGCUAAGAGAGAGAUCACGAGAUACAUCUUCAAUGCCCAGGGAAAAUGCGAGACGAAGAAACAGUGAUAGAGCAGAAAGGGCCUCGGUUGGUAAAAGCAGAGUCAGCGUGGUAGACUCUUCGUCAAGUAAUAAAACGGACGACGAAGAAAGCGACGAUAAUAAAGCCAUUGACAAGAAAACCGAUGAUACUCCUGUUAAUGAAGAAACACCAUUUAAUUCGGAAGAACCGGUAGAUAUACCGGAAACAUCAUGGAGCUGCGAGCAUUGCACUUUCGUCAACGAGCCGGGCACGAGGGUGUGUUCCAUCUGCUGCAAAACACCCAUUUCCCAAGUAAAACUUGUGAAACCACCACAGCAAGCGACAAAAGUGGUCCAGCAAGGCAAAAAUUCAAACUUAAAGCCUCCGAUUGGUCGUAACAAUAACGUGCCCACCGGAAACAAGGCUAAAAUCAAGGAGAAUAAAGUGUUGCAAAGUUUAAGCUCAGACGAUUACAGCGCCAAGUCGCUUAGUGAAACAGAAUCGAUGCAAAAUAAACUGCAAAAGCUCAACUUGGACCUACAAGGAGAAUCGAAAUCCAAAGAACAUGGUGCUGAAAAUAAGACUGAUAAACAUAGUGAUCAUCAUCAGCGGUUAGAUGAUCAAAACGAAUCUGCCGGUUUAAAAGUAUCAACUGCAUGUGGCACGUCACCUCCAAAAGAAAUAGUUGAUGCCAACAAUAAUAAAAAAGUAGCGUCUACGAGUACUGCGACCUCUCCACCGCCUCAAAAUAUCUCCACACAGACUUACGAAGAAUCCCCGCGUAAAAGUCAAAGAAGUUCUCCACCGAAAAGUAUUGCGGAUCACAGUAGGUCAAGCAGAUACAGAGACCUAAAAAGGUCACAGUCCGUCCACACGCCAUCCUCGAAAAGGGGUUCGGAAUGGUCGUUGCAUAGGUCUUCCAGUAGACAUAGCUUCACUACAGAUUCGCAAAGUUUGCCUGGUAGUAGAGAACCCAGUCCCAUGCCCUUCGACUACGAAGAACCAUACUUCGAAAAGCCAUCAGUGAGGCAAAAGAAGUUGCACGGAGGAAACGGCAGGAACUCUCACAGCAUUAUGGACCUCAGAAGACCAGAGCUGUAUCAAAGGAGACCCAGCCAUCAGGAUUUAGGAUCUUACAGGAUGGACUAUGCUGUCCAGGAGCCUCUAAAUCACCGUCACCGUUCCGAGUCUCUGCGUCCCGAAUAUUUUGAAAACGUUUUUGAAAAAAGGGAUAAUUAUAAGAACCAAGGCAUGGAAUUAGUUAAAUUACUUAGAGAAGCAGAGCUACAUAAGUUUACUGCUGAUGAGGUACAGGCAGCUCUCUUGCAUUGUAAGGAUCAAAAUCCUAUUGACUGGCUUAAAGAACACUGGGAAGCGAUAGUUGCUAGUGUACAAACCUUGGCCACCCAAAUGGGUAGAGAGGGACCAAUGAAUAUAGUUGGAACUGUAUCGGAAAAAGAGGCCAGAGACUCCCUGAGGCGUAAUAAGGGAGACCUCUGGCCAGCUGUUCAACAAUGCGUUGAACAGCGACAGAGAAAGUAUGCAGAGCUAGCCAGUCGUGGUGACUUCUCCAGGGAAGACAUAGUGACCGUUCUAACAACAAAUCAUGGUGAUUUAGAGGCGGCCUAUAGUGAACUCAGUAAAACGCAAAUAAAACCGUUUUUAAUGCGAAUUUGGGGUCCACCGAACGGUAUCGAGAACGAGGCAGGUAACGAGGGGGCCACCCUGCAAAAAUUUAGGGGGGAAGAAGUGCUUGAUGAAAAACAAAAGCAAUUAAAAAAACAAGCUGAAGCGGUAAGUCUCGAUCAAAAUCAGUUUAAACCUUCUUCUCCUAAUGCCGUAAGUACUAGCCCCCCGGAUUUAAAAAAAACCCAAUUUUUUAACGAGUCUCCCCUAGAAGAUUCGAUAGAAUUAGUUAGUGAAAAAGAUAAACCAUUACCGUCGCUAGAUACUAUAGAAACCGAGAUUUUAAAGAGCAUACAGGAAAUUAAUAAUUUAAGCAACGAACGCAGAAUGCAAAGGCAGGAAAGGGAACAAACACAUUCAAAAUCUGAGCCGGUUCUAGAACAACCAUCAACUGAAAUAUCUCUACAAAAUGUCGAUUCGCAAUCUACACUCUUAGAAGCUGUAAAUAGGCAGGAUGAAUCUGCAACUGAAAAUCAUCCUCUCUCAAUAUUAAUGAAUGAAGAUUCUCUGAAGGUUCAAGACCUUUCCGAAGCAUUUCAACCUAAAUCUGACAAGCAAAUUAUAUCAGGAACUUCUGCAGAGCAUGGAGAACCUCACGUUCCUAAUCCUAUAUUCUCUACACCCACUAAAACUCCCCUUAAAACCAUAGAGAUUACUUAUACGCCUAUAUCCCCGGUACUCACAAACCUUGAGGUUCCCCAAAGUCCUAAAACGUAUGUAGAAAAAAGUAGCACAGUAAUAGAAGUAGUAGACUUAGCGGGAUUAGAACCAACCAGUGGAAAAAAGUCGGAAAGUCCCGAGUCUGAGAGCAGCAGUUCGAGUGAGGAAAAUGUAUUGGGAGAUGAACAGUUUGAAGAUGCACUUGAAGAUAUGGAAAAGAGUGAAGCUACAAGCGUUGAUAUGGUAGAACUUGCACCAUCGAUACCAGAACGAAAAAAGAGUAUUAGCACUUUAAACAUUCAGCUUUUCGAAACACCUUUGGCGUUUGUUUCUAAGGGUAAUGUAAGUAAUUUAACAGAGAAUGCGCCUAUUAAGUUCGAGCCGGAAUUUCAGGAAAGUACUGCGGAAAUUGUCCUGAAAAGUUCUGACGGUAGAUCUGCUCUAAAGGAUAAAGUUGGAAGGACAGACCAUGAGCUAGUCAAAAAUAAGGGAGUUAUUACGCCUAAGCAAAUGAAGGAAAUAGGAAGUAAUGGGGCAAAUUUCGAAAAUUCUUUGCAUAUAGAUAUAGAAAAAACUGUAAUUGUCGAUCAAAAUAUUAAAGUGCGUGAGGACAUUUUAGUAGAAGAAGAUGAGCCUACUGAAGCAAAACAUAAAGAAAUAAAUGCAAAAACUGAUCAAAAUGUUAAUGACAAUAACAUAAGUAAAGAAGCAGAUGCUAAAGCUAAAAUGCCACAAGAAGUAGAGGUAAUCGCCAGUAACUUUGAUAUGACUAAAAAUAAUGUUAGAGAAGAAAAUGGUACUCGAGAAGCAAAUCAGGUUUAUCAAAAAGUUGAUCCUGCAGCAAUAACAGAAGCUCAACAAGAUGAGGCUCAUAAUUCUCUAUCUAUAAUGGGCGAAUCAAGAAAAGAUAGGCCAGUCGCAAGUAACUUUGAUAUAAAUUCGAAUAUCAUAGAACAACGUCAAACUCAAAGGCCCAUUAAUGAAGAAGAGGUUUUUCAAGAAGUUAUUCAUGCACCAAUAACUGAAGUGAAAGGGGACUCUUCAGAAAAUGAGCUUCAUAACACUGAAUCUCAGAUAGAGGAAACAACAGAACAACCCAAGAACCCACAGGGAGAAGAGGUGAUCUCAAGUAAGUCUGAUAAAAAUAAAAAUAGUCUUAUAGAGCAAAGUCUCACUCAAGUUAAUGAAAAAGAAGUUUUUCCUCCAGAAAUAACUGAAAUAAAAGUAGAGUCUGAUAAAAUUAUGGAAGCUUCACAACAUGGACUUGAUAAUUCUGAAUCUCAGAUAAAGGAACUAAUAAAACAACCAAAGAUCCCAGAUGGAGAAGAAGUGAUCUCAGGUCCCUUUGAUAAAAAUGAAAAUAAUCUUAUAGAGCAAAGUCUCUCUUCAGUUAAUGAAAAAGAUGUUUUCCAAGAAGUUGUUCCUGCACCAAUAACUGAAGUAAAAGUAGACCCUGAUAAAAUAAUGGAAACUUUAGAACAUGGGCUUCAUAACUCUGAAUCUCAGAUGGAGGAACUAAUAAAAAAAUCCGAGAGUCCACAGGUAGAAGAAGUGAUCUUAGGUGCUUUUGAUAAAAAUGAAAAUAAUCUUUUAGAACAAAGUCUCACUACAGUUAAUAAAAAACGAGUUUCUCAAGAAGCUGUUCUUGCACCAAUAGCUGAAGUAAAAGUAGACCCUGAUAAAAUAAAGGAAACUUUAGAACAUGGGCUUCAUAACUCUAAAUCUCAGAUGGAGGAACUAAUAAAAAAAUCCGAGAGUCCACAGGGAGAAGAAGUGAUCUCAGAUACCGUUGAUAUAAAUAAAAAUAAUCUUAUAGAGCAAAGUUUCACUUCAGUUAAUGAAAACGAACUUGUUCCUGCACCAAUAAGUGAAAUAGAAUUUGACUCUAAAACAGCAGCUUCAAACCCCAAGUCUGAUAACUCUGACCUUAAAAUAGACGAAUCAAUAAACUUGAGCUUACCUCCAAGUGGGGCCAAAACGAAAAAUCUCAGCAAAAAGCAAAAGAAAUCAAAGAAACAAGCCAGAAAGAGAGCAGAGAAAUUAGCAUUAAUGCUUAGAAAAGAGAGUUCUAGCAGUACGAAUGAAUCACAAAGCGACAACACUGAAUCUAAAGAGGAAGAGAAGCUGGUUAGCUCAGUAAGUGAAACUGUAGAAGAAAUCGUUAGUAACUUAGAAAACGCCUCUGAUCCAACCAAAGAAGGGCAUAAGAUAGAAAGAAAAAAACCACUUAAGAAAACGGACAGUAAAAAGUUUGAGAAGUACAAGCAUAUGACUUUGAAGCAAAAUAUUCCUUACUCGCCAAUAGAAGAAAAGCAAGAAUUUACGUUGGAGCCAAUUCAAUCUGAAGUGAAAGGUAAUGAAAUUACAUCAGAAAAUAAAUCCAUUGAAGAGUCAGUAAUUGAGGCAAUCCAAACUGAAGAAAUUCGGCCAGUGACCACGACAAAAAUCCAAAUAGCACAAAACCAUCAAUAUCCAGUAUCCAAAAGCCAACCAUCAAAAAUUCCUGUAAUUUCACGACAGAAUUCUAUAACCAAGGAGCCUAAAUCGCCACCUAAUACUACAGGGAGCAAAAUACCAGUGAGACAAAGUCCGCCAAGGAUUCAAAAGGCCCCAGAGAAAACUCCUGCUAAAGUUGUCAGCCUUAUGGUAGAAGAAUCGUGUGAAUCUGAAAACGAUGCUCAAAAUGUAGUUCAAAAAGUGAGCUCUUCUAACAAUACGUCUUUAAAACACUCAAAAAGUCUUAGUCCAAGACCAGUUGACCGACAAAAGCCAAGCACAUCCAGGUCGUUCGAACAAAGGCGCAGUUUAUCAAGAAAGUCUUCAAUUCAAUCAAAUCAAAGCGAAGAUAUCGGUAAGAAACUGAGCAAGAAGAUAUCCUCUCAAUCAUUUAAAAGUUCACUGGACUCAAACGCCAGUUCUAAAAAGAUGUCUUAUACCAAAAGUCUUGAUAAUGAUAGCGAAAGUUCGGUAUCUGAUAGUAACGUCGAGGAGCUACUAUCUGACGACGAGUUCGAACAUUUCGAAGUCGAUUAUAUAGAGGAAAGCGAGUUGGAGGAAAGCGACUCGGAGGAUUACGAAAAAUUUGAUCAAAUCGCUGAAAAACUGAGCAAAAAUUUAAAUCAAAUGAGCGAAAAGAUGGGCCAGUUAACAUCAAAAUUAGACGGAAGUAAUAGUUAUUCUAUUGAAGAAACUUGUGAGUCUGAACAGUAUAGUUCUGAUGAUGAAGAGGAAGUUGACGAAACGGAGAGUAGCCAAAAUGAGGACCAACUUAUCGAAGAUGUUUUACUAGAUACAAAAGAAAAAAUUCUUAGUGAAACCGAACACAUGCAGAGGCAAGCGAGAAGGUUUUUAGCGGAAGGAAGGGUGCAGAACUACGAGCAAGCAGAGCUGGCAGCAAGUUUGCUUGCUUUGCAGUUCUCUCCCGAGGAAGCUCUCGAAGCUGUUAAGGACUGUAGCCACUUGGAUGCCGCCAUAGCUUAUUUGCAACAGGACUGCGAGCUGUGCGCUGGAAAGUAUCCAAUGAAAAAGAUUAUAUCAAUGCUAAAAUGUACCCACAGAUGUUGCCAGGAAUGUGCCAAAAACUACUUUACAGUGCAAAUAACAGACCGGAGUAUCAUGGAUUGUAACUGUCCCUUCUGCAAAGCUCCCGAGUUAAGUCACAACACUUCUACAGAAGAUGAGAUUUCCGACUAUUUUAGCAACUUGGAUAUUCUACUCAAAGGCAUUUUAGAUCCACCGGUUCAUGAGCUAUUUCAGCAAAAGCUGAGAGAUCGAACUCUGAUGCAGGAUCCUAAUUUUAAGUGGUGUGUACAGUGUUCGUCUGGUUUUAUAGCGCAUCCAAAACAAAAGAGACUUAUUUGUCCGGAUUGUAAAUCAGUCACUUGCGCUAGCUGUAGAAGACCGUGGGAGAAACAACAUGAAGGAAUUACGUGUCAAAAAUUCGCCGAAUGGAAAGACGCCAACGAUCCAGAAAACCAGGCUUCCGCUGUCGCAAAGCAUUUAGCUGAAAAUGGUAUAGACUGUCCUCAGUGUAAAUUUAGAUAUUCCUUAGCUAAAGGAGGUUGCAUGCAUUUCACCUGUAUCCAGUGCAAACACGAGUUCUGUUACGGUUGCGGCAAACCGUUUAUGAUGGGCGCCAAAUGUAGUGUGAGUCAGUAUUGUUCAAAGUUAGGAUUGCACGCUCAUCAUCCUCGAAACUGCUUAUUUUAUUUGAGAGACAAAGAGAUUCAUGAGUUGCAAAAAUUAUUGAAAGACCAUAAAAUCAAGUUUGACACAGAGCUGCCAACAGAGAAGGAAGAAAAUGCAAGCGCAAUCGUAAGAUGUCCUGUUUCUCUACAGAAGGAAACACCAACCGGUUUAUUGGAUACUGUUUGUAAUAAUGAUGUGAAUCCGGGGCAAGCUGGCUUAUGCAGAAUGCAUUACAUAGAGUACCUAAGCCUGUUGAUUUGUAAAAAUAAAAUCGAGACCAUCGAGAUCCUUCAAGAAGACGAUCUAGAAACGAUAGUGCGUAGGGCGAACAAACGGUUGCCCCCGAACGCUUACGGUACCCCAAAGUCCAUGUACCAUUUUAGACUGAAACAGGCAACACUACAUCGAGUACUUAGUGGGACUGAUAUUCAGGCACAAGUUGGAUCCCGUAUCGAUCUUGGAUUUGGUUGAGGUUAGCCAAGAGUUGAGGAGACGUGGACACGAGUUACCCGAGAGGGGACCGUGGUGCGACGACAACCAAUAUAGAGAAAUGUGCGCUAAGAUCGUCAUGGAGCAAGUGCCUCUUGAAUGAAACUGAAACAAACAGAAGAUUUUGGAUAAUGUAAGCCCUCACUUCACUCAUUCUAGACGAAGAAUUAGGCAGAUGUCUAUCUGACAUGUUAAAAACCAGAUAAAUCAUAAAUAAAUAUUUUGAUGCUUUACGACUCGGUUUUCCCUAUCUAGACGAUAUUGUUUGUUACCCUCUUACAUUAUUAUUUUAUUAGACGAUAUUUUGUAACGCACGUUUUAAAACAUUGUUUACCUUUAGAUGCCUAGACUUUAUGAUUGUUUAAUAAAGGAUUCUCCAAUAA